Molecule: long non-coding RNA, 1185 nt
Organism: Gallus gallus (chicken)
Lineage: Eukaryota; Metazoa; Chordata; Aves; Galliformes; Phasianidae
Exons: 4
Source: RefSeq, a predicted model, not a curated record
UAAUGGAAGAUGAAGGGAGGAAAAGCAAGUAAAAGACAUGCUAUGCAUAGCCACCACAUGCCAUGGGCACCGUUGUCCCCCUGCACAAAGGAGGAGCAUCUCAGCAAGCUUGGCCUGGGCCGUGGAAGGGAUCAUACAAACAUCUGGACCAACGCGACAGGAGUUAGUUCUGCAGCUGUCGCAAUGCUUUGAUCCCCUGCUGCUGGGCUGGGGCGUUUGAGGAAUGAUGCGUGUGCUGAUGUCCAUCCAGGCUUUGGGGAUGAGUCUGCGUAGCAGGGAGGGCAGGUGGUGAAGCUCAUGAAGCAAUGCCUGCAGAUGGGGUUUGCAGAGCAAGAGGUCCGUCCUGCAGGCCUUGUGUGACACGCAUGGAGCUGUAGCGAGGCUGCAUCAGUGUAAAACAGCAGAAAUGCACGGAGGUGUGAAGGAAUCUCUGUGUGUUUUUUAGUGAAGAACAAACUCUGUGUUCAGUUGUGAAUGAAUGAAUUCAGGCCUGCUAGUUGGUGUUCUUCUCUACACGGAGCCGCAAUUGAAAUGGACGCUCCUGGUGUGAUGUGCGGCCCCGCCCCGUGUUCUCAGAUCCGCCAAGUUGGCAAGGCCUGGCUCUUGGUUGGUGAGCUGUGCCCAGGGUGAGAGACUUGACUCUUGUGGGCUUUGAGACAUGUCUUCGAGUUGCACGUUGUGUUAUUUCUGUUGGGUUGACCUCUUGAGCUCCAGCCCUAAGUGAGGAUCCAAGCAGUAGCGCAGAAGGAAUGGUUUAGACUGGAAGUGCAAUGCCAAGGGCUGGAGCCAGCCGGAGCAGGGAAGUGAUCAUCUCCCCGUACUCAGCACUGGUGAGUCCUCACCUUGAGUAGUGUGUUUGGUUCUGGGCCCCUCACUACAAGGGGGCCCCUGAAAGCCUGAAGUGUGUCCAGAGAAGAGCAAUGAAGCUGUGAGGGUUGUAGAGCACAAGUCUGAUGGGGAGCGGCUGAGGGAAGUGGGAUUCGUUAGUGUGGAGAAGAGGAGGCUGAGGGAAGACCACCUCACUCUGUCCAAUUACGUGACGAGUGGUUAUGUGGAGGUGGGGGUGGUCCUCUUCUCGCAUGGAACUAGUGCUAGAACUAGAGGGAAUGGCCUCAAGUUACAUGAGGGGAGAUUGAGGUUGGAUGUGAAGAAAAGCUUCUCCCAGUGAGCGGUCAGACGCUGCAA